This 219-nucleotide ribosomal RNA is filed under the name uncultured bacterium. RNAcentral describes it as "partial 16S ribosomal RNA". It matches the Rfam family "Bacterial small subunit ribosomal RNA", at positions 1282 to 1500 of the family's 1533-position model. The record is from RNAcentral.
AACGUCUCAGUUCGGAUUGUAGUCUGCAACUCGACUACAUGAAGCUGGAANCGCUAGUAAUCGCAGAUCAGAAUGCUGCGGUGAAUACGUUCCCGGGUCUUGUACACACCGCCCGUCACACCAUGGGAGUCGGAAAUGCCCGAAGUCAGUGACCUAACCGAAAGGGAGGAGCUGCCGAAGGUGGAGCCGGUAACUGGGGUGAAGUCGUAACAAGGUAAC